UACGAGGGGGGCGAGCGUUGUUCGGAAUUAUUGGGCGUAAAGGGUGCGUAGGCGGGCAGGUAAGUCCGUGGUGAAAUCUCUGAGCUUAACUCAGAAACUGCCAUGGAUACUAUUUGUCUUGAAUAUUGUGGAGGUAAGCGGAAUAUGUCAUGUAGCGGUGAAAUGCUUAGAUAUGACAUAGAACACCAAUUGCGAAGGCAGCUUACUACACAGUUAUUGACGCUGAGGCACGAAAGCGUGGGGAUCAAACAGG
RNAcentral lists this ribosomal RNA (253 nucleotides) under uncultured bacterium. Its description in RNAcentral is "partial 16S ribosomal RNA". It matches the Rfam family "Bacterial small subunit ribosomal RNA", at positions 524 to 776 of the family's 1533-position model. The record is from RNAcentral.